ACCUUCUGGAGGAGAAACUCUUACUAGAGGUCCCCAUGAGGCAGAAAUGUCAUCUAAGGAAAUUUUUUUGGUCCAGCUGACCUUCCUCUCAAGCUCUUCCUCAAACCCAUGAUCAAUACCUAGCUUUUACAAGGGUGUUAAACAAUGUAUUUAAAGUGUUAGAAAAAAACCACAUAACUAUAGCAUAAAAAUAUGUGUUAAAAUAAAUAUGUAAAUACACCAAUAAGUUACAAAAAUAUACGUGAAGUUGACAGGGUUUCCCCCACCCCUCUUCGUGCAGCACAAUAUGAAAAACAAAGUCUUCAAAGGACAACUGGGUCUCCUAAGUCAUGAUGAUAUUAUCAGCUAUUCUACUAUCCAGGACACGUUUUGUACCUUUAUGAUAAAACCCACACAAACCACAGCUCUAGGCUGCUUAGAUUGUCAUGGUAAUCAGCAUUCCUGCCAAGGCUUCUGUUUCUUCAGGCAGGCUGAGCCAGCAUAUUUUAUCACAGCCACAAAUAACAAGAUCUUUCAUGCAGCCUCUCUGCAGGAGAAAAAGUGAACUAAUUGCAAAAAUACUAAGGAACAAAAAAGGGGUUAUCCUACAUUUAUUGUCAUGUUUUAUGGCUGAGGCAGCAGGACAUUUAAUUAAAUUUUAAUGCUUUUUAAAAAUCCUUCUGUACAAAGUCAGCCUUUGGAUUAAGUCUUUUCAUUUUUGCCUUUGUCCAAUAGCUAGCUUUUUUUUCGUGAAAGAUGCAAAAAAAUCCUGCAGAGCUCUUCCAAAUGAUUCAAGAUAAUCACAGCAUUCUUCCCGAUUCAGCAUCCAUCUGAGUAGAUUGUACUACUUGCUGCUUGACAGUAAAGGGAAAAAGAAAGAAAAAGGGGGUGGUGGUGUUGGUUUAUUUCUGUUGGUUUGUUUGUUUUCAAUUACUUUAUUUUCAGUAUGUCUGCAUACUUCAAAUUUGGAAAACGCAAACCUGUGAAAUACUAAGUUGAGCGCUUUUUGUGAUUACCAGCGUGUGAAAUGUUGGUUAGUCAUGCAGACAGGGCAGAUAAGUAGGUAGAUGGCAGUCACAAGAAA
Molecule: long non-coding RNA, 1063 nt
Filed under: Strigops habroptila (Kakapo)
Lineage: Eukaryota; Metazoa; Chordata; Aves; Psittaciformes; Psittacidae
Description: lncRNA (ENSSHBG00005021307.1)
Source: RNAcentral